AUAGGAUAUUUUCUACGAGCCCGCUUUCCUAAGGCAGUGCUAUGGGGGCGAGGCCUGGGGCUUAAGACCCCACAGGGUUGUAGGAGAAAUCUUGCAGCCUCCCUGUUAUGGAAAGUAGAAAAAUAGGUUUUAAA
Molecule: non-coding RNA, 134 nt
Filed under: Thermacetogenium phaeum
Lineage: Bacteria; Bacillati; Bacillota; Clostridia; Thermoanaerobacterales; Thermoanaerobacteraceae
Also listed under: 1 other name
Description: MoCo sequence
Rfam family: Molybdenum/Tungsten riboswitch aptamer (Moco RNA motif)
Source: RNAcentral